RNAcentral lists this ribosomal RNA (443 nucleotides) under uncultured bacterium. Its description in RNAcentral is "partial 16S ribosomal RNA". It matches the Rfam family "Bacterial small subunit ribosomal RNA", at positions 338 to 795 of the family's 1533-position model. The record is from RNAcentral.
CCUACGGGAGGCAGCAGUGGGGAAUAUUGGGCAAUGGAGGCAACUCUGACCCAGCAAUGCCGCGUGAGUGAUGAAGGUAAUUUUAUUGUAAAGCUCUUUUCUUUGGAACGAAUAAAUGACGGUACCAAAGGAAUAAGCCCCGGCUAACUACGUGCCAGCAGCCGCGGUAAUACGUAGGGGGCAAGCGUUGUUCGGAAUGACUGGGCGUAAAGGGUGUGUAGGUGGUUUGAUAAGUUAGAUGUGUAAUACCCAGGGCUUAACUCGGGUGCUGCAUCUAAAACUGUUAGACUUGAGUACUGGAGAGGAUAGUGGAAUUCCUAGUGUAGCGGUGGAAUGCGUAGAUAUCACGCAGAACUCCGAUUGCGAAGGCAGCAUACCGGCGCCCAACUGACGCUGAAGCACGAAAGCGUGGGUAUCGAACAGGAUUAGAUACCCCAGUAGUC